GAAAAAUUACUCUCUCGCCGCUUUUCAAAUCUACCGUGAGAUGAGGUGAUUUUGUCAAAAAUGAUUUUUAAAAAAUUCAUUAAAUAUCAAAAUUUGCUUUUAACUUUUUAAAUCACUUUUGAACUUCUCAAAGCAAUCCUAAACAGGCCCUAUGAAUGUUACUAACUACGCGUAACUUCCAAGCUUCUAUCUAAUCCGGCUUUUGGCAACUUAAAAUAAUAAUUAUUUAUACAAUAUAGAGUACUCUAUGAACUGGCAGUGGUAAGUGCCUACUGAUGGUUAAUGAGUAAGCAAGAUAUCAUUAUACCGUUUUUCCAUCCUUUGUACCUUUUGAUUUUGAUUUUUAAUUUUUUUUAAACCUUAGCAACUAUCUAGGAUAGUUUCUGAUUUUUCACUUAAAUUCUUUUGUCAACAUUAAGCCGAAAGACUUUACGUAAGCACGCGUCAACAUGAAAGUUGGGAGGGAUUUUAUUUUGGGUGGUCAUACAAGCUAGUAGCCCAUUGCUUUUUGGGUUUUUUUUCUACCUACCAAUGACUUGGAUUGGUUCGUAAGACGGUGAAAAUUGUUUUAAUGGAACUUACAACACAGAGUACUCCAUGAACUGGCAGUGGUAAGUGCCUCCUCAUAGUUAAUUAGUAAGAAAGAUAUCAUUCUACUGUUUUUUCCAUCCUUUGUACCUUUUGAUUUUGAUUUUUAAUUUUUUUUAAACCUUAACUACUACCUAGGAUAGUUUCUGAUUUUUCACUUAAAUUCUUUUGUCAACAUAAAGCCGAAAGACUUUAGGUAAGCACACGUCCACAUGAAAGUUGGGAGGGAUUUUAUUUUGGGUGGUCAUACAAGCUAGUAGCCCUUUGCUUUUUUGGUAUUUUUUUCUACCUACCAAUGACUUGGAUUGGUUCGUGAGACGGUGAAAAUUGUUUUAAUGGAACUUACAAUACAGAGUACACUAUGAACUGGCAGUGGUAAGUGCCUACUGAUAGUAAAUUAGUAAGCAAGAUAUCAUUGUACUGUUUUUUCCAUCCUUUGUAGCUUUUGAUUUUGAUUUUUAAUUUUUUUUUUAAACCUUUGCAACUAUCUAGGAUAGUUUCUGAUUUUUCACGUAAAGUCUUUUGUCAACAUAAAGCCGAAAGACUUUAGGUAAGCCCACGUCAACAUGAAAGUUGGGAGGGAUUUUAUUUUGGGUGGUCAUACAAGCUAGUAGCCCUUUGCUGUUUCGGCAUUGUUUUCUUCCUACCAAUGACUUGGAUUGGUUCGUGAGACGGUGAAAAUUGUUUUAGUGGAACUUACAAUACAGAGUACUCCAUGAACUGGCAGUGGUAAGUGCCUACUGAUGGUUAAUGAGUAAGCAAGAUAUCAUUGUACCGUUUUUUCCAUCCUUUGUACCUUUUGAUUUUGAUUUUUAAUUUUUUUUAAACCUUAGCAACUAUCUGGGAUAGUUUCUGAUUUUUCACUUAAAUUCUUUUGUCAACAUUAAGCCGAAAGACCUUAGGUAAGCACACGUCAACAUGAAAGUUGGGAGGGAUUUUAUUUUGGGUGGUCAUACAAGCUAGUAGCCCUUUGCUUUUUUGGUAUUUUUUUCUACCUACCAAUGACUUGGAUUGGUUCGUGAGACGGUGAAAAUUGUUUUAAUGGAACUUAAAAUGAGCCCAAGUCACAAACUUUGGAAUGAUAUAUACUGGCUAUAAUUCCUUGUAAACCAUAUAUGUAAAGAGACAGGUGAAUAGGUAGUAGUUAUCAAUUAUUUUGUCAAAUAGCUCUCGAAAUACUCUUCUUUUGAUCUUUCUAUUUUCUUCUUCUGUUGUACUAUGGCAUGUUGCAGUGGG
RNAcentral lists this long non-coding RNA (1824 nucleotides) under Citrus maxima (pomelo). RNAcentral's name for it is "long non-coding RNA (CMAX_LNC000613)". The record is from RNAcentral. Lineage: Eukaryota; Viridiplantae; Streptophyta; Magnoliopsida; Sapindales; Rutaceae.